This 73-nucleotide transfer RNA is filed under the name Microbacterium koreense. Its description in RNAcentral is "tRNA-Val". It matches the Rfam family "tRNA". From Rfam's summary of the family: Transfer RNA (tRNA) molecules are approximately 80 nucleotides in length. RNAcentral also lists the same sequence under 3 other names. The record is from RNAcentral. Lineage: Bacteria; Bacillati; Actinomycetota; Actinomycetes; Micrococcales; Microbacteriaceae.
GGGCCUUUAGCUCAGCUGGUAGAGCACCUGGUUUACACCCAGGUUGUCGUCGGUUCGAUCCCGGCAGGGCCCA